UGAAUUCAUUAUUGUUCACUUAAAAAUCAAAAUCUGUUACAUCGAGCUAAUUAUAGAGGAAGUAGUCUGCAUCAUAAAUACAAGCACAUACACUAGCUUUACCUAAGGCAGUUACAAACAGUUACAAUGGCCAGAAAUAACAGAAAAUGAAAACUAACACUAUAACUUGUUGAACAAGAUACAAAAUAAGCUUCUUCCAUGCUUUCAGCUAAGUAUCUUAACAAUUUCCACAAUGAUUCAGCACCUUAACACAGCGAAAAUGCACUCCUGCUUGUACUAUCUUAACAAUUCCUUCAAUUGGAAGAAUGCCAUCCUUGUAUAUUAUUAUCCACAGCCAAUAAUUAUUGAAAUAGAGUACAUCAAAUAACAUAUUGCUGGCAGCAUGAAAAAAAGUUCAAAUAUAGAUUUAUUGUUCAUUAGAUUAUCAAGUUUUUCAAAUAGAAGUUAUUUCAACAUAAAACUAGAGAUCAUUCAAUAAGGAUAAAAUGUCAAUCAUUUCAUUGAUACAUAAACCAAAUUAGUUUGCAAAUAGGAAUAGAGUAAACAAGGUAAUAUCCCAAUAAUUACUGAAAUAGAGUAAACUAUAGAUCAAUUACUUAUUCCUUCAAUUGGAAGAAUGCUUUCCUUGUAUGUUAUUAUCCGACUAGAACUAGAAUAAAUCCGUGCUUCAUUGUAACCUAGCUCUGCAAUCAUUUGGGUACUUAAAUCAAGCCAGACUAGUUUUCUAUCUUUUCUUGUGAAGACUAUUUCUCCUUUCAUCCCCACUCCGAUAGGACGCUCCACACAAGACAAUGGUCCAACAAUUAAGAGUUUAGUCCACGAUUCCUCCAAACCGAAUUCACCCAAAAUUGAUAUGUGAAAAGUAGUUGUCUUUUUAUGAUAUGAGAUCAAUGUAAUGGAUCCAUUUAACACCGCCAAUUUUAACCAUGUUAAUUUAUCAACAAAACAAUCAUCUAGGUCUGAGGGUAUCGAUGUUUCAAAGUACUCCUCAUCGCUAAAGUAAAACGAUACCAAACAGGGUACAACGUUAAUAUAAUUUGCUUCACACAACCAAUGACAUACUCCAUCCAUGUAGACUUGGGUGUCGUUACUAUAAAACAAUGAAAACGGCAUGUCAACAUGAAGUUUCCUCCAGGAGUUACUUCUUAGACUAUAUAUCUCCCAAAAGGGGUCAAAACCAAUGAAAUUCAAGGGGUCAAAACCUGCGUAACUCAACCAGUCCAAAGUUAUAAUUUCUUCUUCGAAGUCGUCAUCGGAUUGGGCUAUUGAUUCUAAAUAAACAUUUACAAACCGAAUGACCUUAUAGUCAUUUGUAACAGGGUCAUAACCAAAUCCGUGAGCAUAAGUAUCAACAGAACAAUGAACAAUACCCAAAGCCUCAUCUGGGAUAGACAAAUCAAUACCCAGCAGUGCCUCACUGUCAGGAAGGGGCUUUAUUGUUUGGGUGACUGGGUUCCACAAUACAAUGUCGUCAUUACCCCCAUAGAGACAAAGUAUGCCAUUAACACUCCCAGAACCAAGAAUACGAGUAGUAUGAAAACGGUUUUGAGAUGAACUUGACCAAUCUAAUUUAACCUUAUUCUCAAACCUCUCACCAGAAAAAGAAAUAAAAGCUUCUUCAUUAUAGUUUAAAAAAUCACUAAAGAUGAAAGAUGAUGGGUCAUUAUUAUUAGAUAAGAAAUUGUUACGGAACAUGUUCAUGAAGAAAUGAUUUUCAAAUAAGAGAGACCAUGAUUUUUGAACACAUUCAAAUCGUUUCAAUGACUUAAGAGACAACUUUGAUAGAAUUGAGUAAGUUAUUUCAUCAGGUAUGUAAUUUCUCACCUUUUCGUUUAGAUCAGCCAUUGAUUUCUUCUCCAUCGCUUCCAAAUUGCACUGCUAAACCCUAAGUAAACCCUAAUUUUGAAUGUGCUAAGGUAUUGGUGGCAAGAGUAGUGAAACAAGAGCGAAGAGACUGAAAGUGAGCGAAAGGAGUGUUGGAGGAGUUCAGUGGGAUCGGAGAGUUCCGAUCGGAGACAGCAGAGGGAAGAUUGGAGGGAUGGGAGAGCACAGAUUGGAGAUUGAAGAAGGUUGUUGAAGAUGAAGGGUAAUUUUGUCCAUAUAGAUUGGAGUAAUAUUUAAUGAGUCAUCAAACUUGAAUUGAA
This 2144-nucleotide long non-coding RNA is filed under the name Trifolium pratense (red clover). Its description in RNAcentral is "long non-coding RNA (TPRA_LNC000718)". Lineage: Eukaryota; Viridiplantae; Streptophyta; Magnoliopsida; Fabales; Fabaceae. The record is from RNAcentral.